GAAAUCACCUUACGAGUUUUCUCCUUCUCUCUCUUUUUCUCCUUUUCUCUCUUUUGUCUCUCUCUCUAAACUCUAUUAUUGUGAGUCUACAGUGCAAAGGGUCAUGAGAAUUAUUAUUAUGUCUCAUGCCCACUUGGUUCUCUCCAUCUAGGAGGGACCCAACAAAUGUAACCCUGAUUAUAUAAAAACUUCAAAAUCUAUAAUUUACACCAGUUUUUAAAUAUAAAUAAUAGAAAUUUGAAAAUUUAAAAGAAAAAUAAAUAAAUAUUAUUUGGUUUAAAAUUUAUUCAUGUUAUAUGUCUAAAUAUCACAAUUCACAACUAAUCACAAUUUGUCACCCUUUUUUGACAACAAAGAUAGAUUUUAUUCAAAUAGUGAAUGGGUAAUACAAUUUGUCACUUUUAUUAUAUAUCACAAUUGCUAAAAUAAAAGUAUGGCCAUAAAAUUUUGACUGAAUUUUUUUUUGUUCCCCCGAUUUAAGUGUGUAACCCGCCGCCACAAAUUUAUCCUAAAACCCUAAUUACACUUACAAUAACUUCUUAUUUUUCUUGUUUAAUUCGCCUCCAUUAUCUCUCUCUCUUUUCCUUCGGUUUCGUUCUUAGAUCGUAUCUCGUUUCUUAAUUUUUCAGUCUUGUUCAGUUGCAUAUAAGAAUUUCCGGCAGUGGUUAGAAGAGGAGAUGUGUUUCUUCAAUCUCUCCAGCAGUGGUCAAUUCAGCGAGAUGAAGAAUCUAAACCAGUGGAAACACAAGUUCAUGUUCUAUUGUCGUUACUUUAUCUCAGUUUCACCACGCUUGAAUUUCCUGUCAAAUACCAAGAUGAGAAUUGAUCUGAGGCUACAAUACGAACGCUGGAAGCACAUCUCUCACUGUUUGAUCAGGAUCCAUAAAAACUACGAUCUUUUGCUGAGACACAAUUUGCACAUUAUUACUAUUCUAAGAUGACCGCCCUGCUCGGCAAGAAAGUUCAGAUUGUUUGGGAUGAUAUAUUGGUCUGCCACAGCUAAUCAAGUGUUCUACCUUCGAAUGUGAUGGUGGUGGAAAACGCAGCAUCAAUGAUCUGCAACAGCGGUGGUGUUGGCCGGUACGGCCGAGACGACAGAAUUAGAUGUAUUGAUUUAUUGUUUUCUUUUUAUCUUUAAUUUUAAUUAUUUAAUUAAUUUUAUUUAUUUGUAUUACAAAAUAUUAUUCGAAAAAUAAAUAGAUUUUGUUAUUAUUUUUAAAUUUAA
This is a long non-coding RNA of Brassica napus (rape), 1225 nucleotides long. RefSeq lists it as uncharacterized. NCBI's taxonomy places the organism in Eukaryota, Viridiplantae, Streptophyta, Magnoliopsida, Brassicales, Brassicaceae. The record is from RefSeq and is a predicted model, not a curated record. The transcript has 3 exons.